Drosophila eugracilis is the source of this 136-nucleotide non-coding RNA. The record is from RefSeq and is a predicted model, not a curated record. Lineage: Eukaryota; Metazoa; Arthropoda; Insecta; Diptera; Drosophilidae.
GUCGCAGCAACAAGAAAGUGCUUACAAUGAUUGACUUUAUUUGAGCGCUGAUACAAUGCUGGCAGAAAAAUGUCAAUGCCAAGAACAGUUCAGCUUAGAGCAGCUUAUAAACUGAUCUACACGUGGCAUCACAUAC